UCAGCGGACUACAAGAAGCAGAGCCACCCUCAAUCUGGGUAGACACCAUCUAAUCAGCUACCAGCAAGGCUAGAAUAAAACAGGCAGGAGAAGAUGGAAGAGCAGACUUGCUGAGACUUCUGGCCUUCAUCUUUCUCCUGUGCUAGGUGCUUCCUGCCCUCGAACAUCAGACUCCAAGUUCUUCAGCUUUCAAAAUCUUGGACUUAUAUUGGUAAUUUGCCAGAGACCCUUGGGCCUUUGGCCACAGACUGAAGGCUGCACUGUUGGCUUCCCUAUUCUUGAGGUUUUGGGACUCGCACUGAUCCACCACUGGCUUCCUUGGCUCCUCAACUUGCAGCCGGCCUAUCAUGGGACUUACCUAGUGAUCAUGAAUGCUGUGACCUCUGAGAUAAUUCACCCACCGGAGUCAGACUGCUGAAGAACACUGGAUGGGUGGAAAAGGAACAUCUCAACCAGGAGAGAAGGAACUGAGUCAAGAAAGGGCUGCAUCUGGUGAAUAUGUCCCUCCCAGUGAUGGAACCCAGGGCUGCUGCAGCCAAGAGUCUAUAACAGUGGAGACGCCUUGAGCAAAGCCCCAGAGCCCUUGAGCUGCCUGUUCCCCUCCUCUGACAUGAUGGGUAAUCUGAUGGAAGCGCUGAGAGGCACUGCCUAGAAUUAAGCCCUAUGUGUAAACGAAGCAAGGAAGAAAGAACAUGUGCUAUCAAAUAUGAUUCAUGAUUCAAAUAUAUUUUAAUAUCUUAUUCUUUUCACACUCUGAGAAACUAUUCUGAUAAUGUGAUUGUUUUGUAAAGGAGUGUAUCUUCGGAUAAUAUACAGAUUUUAUAGCUAUUGCACAGUUUUAAUAAGCAAAAGACUUGCUAGGUUGAACUGGGUUCAACCCAAACCACUGUACAAUUUAAUUCAACACAAUAUUCCUCUGUUUAAAGUGCAUGUAAUUGCCAAUUUAUACAGUCACCAAGACCAAAGGUUUGCUAAAUAGAGUUCUGCAAACAUAGUAUGGCAUGUUUUAUCCC
Molecule: long non-coding RNA, 1013 nt
Filed under: Homo sapiens (human)
Lineage: Eukaryota; Metazoa; Chordata; Mammalia; Primates; Hominidae
Description: non-protein coding lnc-ALG14-5:1
Source: RNAcentral